AUGGUCACGACGGCGUCGGCGCGCGCGCACCAGCAGCACGGCGGGAAGCAGCAGCAGUACCAGCCGCUGCGGCGCAUUGAGGGGCUGAGCCUGAGGUCCGCGCUCCGCAGCGACCCGCGCGUCCCCGCGCUGGCCGCGGCCGCGCUCCUCGUCCCGCUCGGCGCCGCGCUGCUGGCCCUCUCCGGCCUCUUCCUGCUGGCCACGCUCGCCGGCGUCGCGCUCUCGGCGCCGCUCAUCCUGCUCUUCAGUCCGGUUCUCGUGCCCGCCGCCCUCGGGGCCGCGCUGGCCGUCGCUGGGCUCGCCGCCGCUGGCGCGCUCGCCGUCUCGGGGCUCUCGGCGCUCGUCUGGGUCGUGGGGUACGUCCAGAGGGGCCUGGCGCAGGGCGACUCCGGCCGGGUGGGCGGAAUGGUGGUGCAGCCGUUGGACAGCGGGAAGCGGCACGGCAGACAGGGGGCGCCGGCCUUCGUCGGGCACAGAGUCGGGGACGAGGCCGUGGACGCUCUGGGCACCACCAAAGCGCGGGACGUCGCCAGCACCUAA
Molecule: ribosomal RNA, 540 nt
Filed under: Triticum aestivum (bread wheat)
Lineage: Eukaryota; Viridiplantae; Streptophyta; Magnoliopsida; Poales; Poaceae
Description: partial small subunit ribosomal RNA
Source: RNAcentral